Molecule: ribosomal RNA, 253 nt
Filed under: uncultured bacterium
Lineage: Bacteria
Description: partial 16S ribosomal RNA
Rfam family: Bacterial small subunit ribosomal RNA
Source: RNAcentral
UACAGAGGGUGCAAGCGUUAAUCGGAGUUACUGGGCGUAAAGGGCGCGUAGGUGGUUGUUUAAGUGAGAUGUGAAAGCCCUGGGCUUAACCUAGGAACUGCAUCUUAUACUGGGCAACUGGAGUACUGUAGAGGGUAGUGGAAUUUCCGGUGUAGCGGUGAAAUGCGUAGAGAUCGGAAGGAACACCAGUGGCGAAGGCGGCGAUCUGGGAAGAUACUGACGCUGAGGUGCGAAAGCGUGGGGAGCAAACAGG